Molecule: ribosomal RNA, 465 nt
Filed under: uncultured beta proteobacterium
Lineage: Bacteria; Pseudomonadati; Pseudomonadota; Betaproteobacteria
Description: partial 16S ribosomal RNA
Source: RNAcentral
GACUACAGGGGUAUCUAAGCCUGUUUGCUCCCCACGCUUUCGUGCAUGAGCGUCAGUAUUGGCCCAGAGACCUGCCUUCGCCAUCGGUAUUCCUCCUGAUAUCUACGCAUUUCACUGCUACACCAGGAAUUCUAGUCUCCUCUGCCAUACUCCAGCCUUACAGUCCCAAAUGCCAUUCCCAGGUUGAGCCCGGGGCUUUCACAUCUGGCUUAUAAAACCGCCUGCGCACGCUUUACGCCCAGUAAUUCCGAUUAACGCUCGCACCCUACGUAUUACCGCGGCUGCUGGCACGUAGUUAGCCGGUGCUUAUUCUUCCGGUACCGUCAGUAGUCAAGGUUAUUAGCCUUAACCGUUUCGUCCCGAACAAAAGAGCUUUACAACCCGAAGGCCUUCUUCACUCACGCGGAAUGGCUGGAUCAGGGUUGCCCCCAUUGUCCAAAAUUCCCCACUGCAGCCCCCCGUAGG